GACGCGAUCACGACUCUCUCUGACGCGAUCUCUCUGACGCGAUCACGACUCUCUGUCUCUCUCCUCAUCGCCGCCCUAGCCCGUAGGCCGUAGCAACUGCCCUAGGCCCUAGCCUGGCUAGCGACGCCGACGAGCCGACGAGAGGAGAGACGACGCGUCGACGCCGCGACGGCGCGACCACGCGAGCAGCCCCCACGCGGCCACGGCCACGCCGCCGCGCGCGACGCCGUGACCGGCGACCUGCUGCUGUCCUGCUGUCUGCUGUCUGUUUAAUAGUGUUCGUCAGUUCGUGUGCCGCUGGACGCCGCCGCGAGGAGCCGUCGUCGAGCCGAUCAGCCGCCCGCGCCAACACAAGAUUGUUGAUUGUUGAAUCAUGAAGAAAGAUGGAGUUAUCGUAUCGCUUUUUCUUUAAAGUGGAUGAAGAGGAUAUAAUGAACACUUUCAUGGCCAUUAGAAGACGUAGACCCGAUAAGAAGAAAAAGUAAUAUGGUAAUUUUCUUUAAGCUUUCAUAGCCGUACAAGCUUCUUUAAAUCAAAAUUUUACUUAAUUACUAAUUUUAUAUAUUUUAAGAUGUUUUGUUAAUAUAUCAUGGUAAGUUUUUGAUAAUUUGAUCUAUUUUAUUACUUAUAGUUACAUUGUAUAUAUUAGUAUCGUUAGGUUUACUGUGUUUAGAAAAAAAAUUUUAGGUCGGACCACCCAUAUCCUAAAUUCUAGAUCCGCCACUCUGCAUCACAGGUGAACAUCCAUUGACUGAUCGACGUUUGCCAAUACCGGUCGGAAAUUUGAAGAUCAUAUUAACAUGCCGUGUUGUUGUUGACAUUGCCCAAGUGCAUGCCCACGAAACUUCGAGGAAGCUUCGUAGAUUUGCCAUUCACGGCGUAACGGAACACCGGAAAUUGUCUUAAAAAUUGUCACCAUCCACAUGCGUAUCCAUCGUCGGCUGGAACACCAUGGUCGGCUGGAACACCAUGGUGCUGGAACACCAUGGUCGGCUGGAACAAAUUCAACUUCCCGUAUCCUAGUUGACUGGAAUUGAAGGUACAAUUUCCAACAUUCGCUUCCAAACAAGGCCUAUAAAGUCCCAUCCCCUCGACCUCUCGCCAUUGUCCACCUGCCACGUACGGCCCAACCCGCCACCGAAUUCGAUUGCUCCAGUGACCAUGGACGACGCUGGCAACAGCAGCAAGGAGGCGGAGGCGCAGGCGCCGGCGCCGGCGAACCAGGCCCCUGCCACCGCCGCCGCCGCCGCCCGCGGCGCGAUUCAUCGCGGGCCGAUGCUGCGCCUCGCCGCGAUGCAGCUGAUGCUGUUCGCGGCGUACGAGAUCGUCAGCUCGUACGCCGCGCCGCCAGUGGCGCUUCCCCGCCUCUUCGCGGCGUUCGUCGCCUGGCUCGUCGGCUGCCUCUCGCUGUUUGUCGCGCCGCCCUGAAGGGCUGCACGUUUCAUCGGAGGUUGAAAGCAUAGCCAUCAGGUAUUCAGGAUUAAUCUAUCAGCAUCAAUCAUCAGCGGUAGUGUGGUGUAACGGGGCUCGUUUUUUGUUUUUUUUUUCUUCUUUAUGUGGAGUGGGAGUAUGACGUUCUGCAGGUUUAUUUAUGUUGACCACUCGUUGUUUAUUCGGACUUGUUUGUCCGUUUCAGCAGUAGGCUACUGUUAGGCUGCCUGUAUCAGAUUUCUCUGCACAUGAGAGCAGGUAAAAUAGCAUGCUAUUAGCCAGCUAUAAAUAUAUUUUAAUGAGAUAAAAGAUAAGA
Molecule: non-coding RNA, 1747 nt
Organism: Oryza sativa Japonica Group (Japanese rice)
Lineage: Eukaryota; Viridiplantae; Streptophyta; Magnoliopsida; Poales; Poaceae
Source: RefSeq, a predicted model, not a curated record